AUUGAACGCUGACGGCAUGCCUUACACAUGCAAGUCGAACGGCAGCGCGGGAGCAAUCCUGGCGGCGAGUGGCGAACGGGUGAGUAAUAUAUCGGAACGUGCCCAGUAGUGGGGGAUAGCCCGGCGAAAGCCGGAUUAAUACCGCAUGAGACCUGAGGGUGAAAGCGGGGGAUCGCAAGACCUCGCGCUACUGGAGCGGCCGAUAUCAGAUUAGCUAGUUGGUGGGGUAAAGGCCUACCAAGGCAACGAUCUGUAGUUGGUCUGAGAGGACGACCAGCCACACUGGGACUGAGACACGGCCCAGACUCCUACGGGAGGCAGCAGUGGGGAAUUUUGGACAAUGGGCGCAAGCCUGAUCCAGCAAUGCCGCGUGCAGGAAG
Molecule: ribosomal RNA, 380 nt
Filed under: uncultured bacterium
Lineage: Bacteria
Description: bacterial SSU rRNA
Rfam family: Bacterial small subunit ribosomal RNA
Source: RNAcentral